RNAcentral lists this ribosomal RNA (465 nucleotides) under Vreelandella stevensii. RNAcentral's name for it is "partial 16S ribosomal RNA". It matches the Rfam family "Bacterial small subunit ribosomal RNA", at positions 338 to 795 of the family's 1533-position model. The record is from RNAcentral. Lineage: Bacteria; Pseudomonadati; Pseudomonadota; Gammaproteobacteria; Oceanospirillales; Halomonadaceae.
CCUACGGGAGGCAGCAGUGGGGAAUAUUGGACAAUGGGGGGAACCCUGAUCCAGCCAUGCCGCGUGUGUGAAGAAGGCCCUCGGGUUGUAAAGCACUUUCAGUGAGGAAGAACGCCUGGUGGUUAAUACCCAUCAGGAAAGACAUCACUCACAGAAGAAGCACCGGCUAACUCCGUGCCAGCAGCCGCGGUAAUACGGAGGGUGCGAGCGUUAAUCGGAAUUACUGGGCGUAAAGCGCGCGUAGGUGGCUUGAUAAGCCGGUUGUGAAAGCCCCGGGCUCAACCUGGGAACGGCAUCCGGAACUGUCAAGCUAGAGUGCAGGAGAGGAAGGUAGAAUUCCCGGUGUAGCGGUGAAAUGCGUAGAGAUCGGGAGGAAUACCAGUGGCGAAGGCGGCCUUCUGGACUGACACUGACACUGAGGUGCGAAAGCGUGGGUAGCAAACAGAAUUAGAUACCCCAGUAGUC